GACAGAGGGGGCAAGCGUUGCUCGGAAUUACUGGGCGUAAAGCGUAUGCAGGCGGACUUUUAAGUCGGGGGUGAAAUCCCGAGGCUCAACCUCGGAACUGCCUUCGAUACUGGAAGUCUUGAGUCCGGGAGAGGUGAGUGGAACUGCGAGUGUAGAGGUGAAAUUCGUAGAUAUUCGGAAGAACACCAGUGGCGAAGGCGGCUCACUGGUCCGGUACUGACGCUGAGGUGCGAAAGCGUGGGGAGCAAACAGG
RNAcentral lists this ribosomal RNA (253 nucleotides) under uncultured bacterium. RNAcentral describes it as "partial 16S ribosomal RNA". It matches the Rfam family "Bacterial small subunit ribosomal RNA", at positions 524 to 776 of the family's 1533-position model. The record is from RNAcentral.